Non-coding RNA from Tauraco erythrolophus (red-crested turaco), 1192 nucleotides. Lineage: Eukaryota; Metazoa; Chordata; Aves; Musophagiformes; Musophagidae. The record is from RefSeq and is a predicted model, not a curated record.
UUCCCUAACAAGUUUUAUUUGUUAAUUUAGAAUGCAGAGAUGAACCUUUUAACUUUACUCUGAAAGCAAAUAUUGACUUUGUUUCAUAGUAAUCUGGACUUUGCACAGGACGGGAAAAGCCUGACAUUCCUGAAAAUGGCAGCUGAGACAUCCAAAGAAGUUCCAAAAACUGCUAGACAAUUCGUCCUUAAAGAAGAGGUAAUAGUAGAAAGAAAAUGGUUGAAGCUUGAAGAAACAACUUAUACGGAUCCCUUUGGUAAAACCAGAACUUGGGAAACGGUGAAGCGUACUGGCAACAAAAAGGGCAUUUCAGCUGAUGGUGUAGCAGUGAUAGCGGUACUACAGAGAACUCUCCACUACGACUGCAUUGUCCUAGUGAAACAGUUCAGGCCGCCAGUUAACGGCUACUGCUUGGAAUUUCCUGCAGGCCUCAUUGAGGAAAAUGAGACAGCAGAACACGCUGCCUUGCGAGAGCUGGAGGAAGAAACUGGGUACAAGGGGGAAGUCGUUGAAUGUACUCCAGCUCUCUACUUGGACCCAGGUUUGUCAAACAGCACAACGCACAUUGUGAGCGUCACCAUUAACGGAGAUGAGGCUGAGAAUACAAGACCUAAGCAAAAACUUGAUGAUGGAGAAUUUGUGGAAGUUAUUUCACUUCCAAAGAAUGACCUACUGCAAAGAAUUGAUGGUAAGAGCUUUCCGGCCCUUUCAAUGCGCUAACGUGAGCUUCAAGAAACCUUUAGCUUCUCUUCUCAUAGCUCCUCGUGGCAUUUCUCAUCCUACAAUAUUGUAUCUUAAACAAAAAGCUGUGAGAGACUUGGCCACGUAACAGAGUUAGUGAUGGUAUCAGAACUCGUAGCAGAACAACAUAUUGCAGUGGAUGCCAGGGUGUAUAGUUACGCACUGGCCCUGAAGCACGCAGCAGAAAAACCGCUCCAAGUUCCUUUUAUGAAGUUCUAAAACAGACAAUAAGAAAUUGAGUUGAAAACUGCUCAAUUCAGAUGGCUUAGAAGUGUAACUCUUCCUGUAAUAAAGGUCCUUUGCUUUACUUGUAGAGCAAAAAAACAAAGUGUUUGUAGGAAUGAUUCUGACAUUUUUAUCUGGAAUUCUGUAACUGACAAAAAGCGUUUCUUCUGACCGCUCAGUCUACCAAACCUUGACACAAUAAUCGUAAUAAAAUGCUGUUUAAUUU